CCACUUUGCAUUUCGCUUCUCUUCUCCUCUUUAUAUAUACGUAAAAAUUGAAGAAGAAAAAAAGUCCUAAUUUUUUUUUUUCAGUGAGCGAGGGAGAUGUCUGGCAUAGCGCGUGGCCGGCUUGCGGAGGAGCGAAAGGCGUGGCGUAAGAACCAUCCUCAUGGUUUUGUGGCUAAGCCAGAGACUCUGCCGGAUGGUUCAGUGAAUCUGAUGGUAUGGCAUUGCACUAUCCCCGGUAAAGCUGGAACUGAUUGGGAGGGUGGUUACUACCCACUGACUCUCCACUUCAGUGAAGAUUAUCCUAGCAAGCCACCAAAGUGCAAAUUUCCUCAAGGCUUCUUUCACCCCAAUGUCUAUCCUUCUGGAACUGUUUGCCUUUCAAUCCUCAAUGAGGAUAGUGGGUGGAGACCAGCCAUUACUGUGAGGCAAAUUCUUGUCGGUAUCCAAGAUUUGUUAGACCAGCCUAAUCCUGCAGAUCCUGCUCAAACAGAAGGUUAUCACCUCUUCAUCCAGGAUGCUGUUGAAUACAAGAGAAGGAUCCGCCAGCAGGCCAAGCAAUACCCCUCUCUUAUCUAAGACUUGGUUACUGCUGAUGGACGAGGGAUGGCAGAGAAGUUGUCCCAGUCUGUUUGUAUACUGGAGUAAUGUCUUGAUGAUAUCCAUAUUUGCAUUUGGGCAGCUGUAGGUGACAACCCCUGAAGUUCAACACUGAUGGGACUGGCAUCAUAAUUUAUGAUGUGGGAUUGCGUUUUCCUAAAUCCCCUUAGAAUCAUGCAAUUAAAGGGAUUUCUCUGUAUUCAUUGCAAAUCAGUUGCAGUUCGAAUGAAUUUAGAGAUUCCAACUGAAAUUUCACCAAUGUUUAUUCUUCACUUCUAGCGAACUAUUUGUAAUAAGUCCAUCGACAAGCUUAAUGAUUGAUUUAAUGAUCUAAACACACUUAACAGCA
Molecule: RNA transcript, 946 nt
Organism: Mangifera indica (mango)
Lineage: Eukaryota; Viridiplantae; Streptophyta; Magnoliopsida; Sapindales; Anacardiaceae
Gene name: SUMO-conjugating enzyme SCE1
Exons: 7
Source: RefSeq, a predicted model, not a curated record